GAUCAAGAAUAUUGUACAAUGCAGUGUCUAAAAGCAGCAACGGGACCAUUCAGUGCCCCAAAAGAAAAGAGCUACGACAGACAAAAAGAACCAAGAUAUGCAGUUAGGACCAAAAGACUUGUCACAUUUUGGCUAACAUCUCUCUGCAACAAAAUUAUGGACCCCUGGUAUGAAAAGCUUGUUUCACGGUAGUGCUACUGUUGAUGAUAAGGAGGCAUUGCAGUAGAAUACGGUAUGCCAUUCCGUCCAUGCAUUGGAAUCACCGCAGAACCCAUCUGUGAAGGCACACUACCAGGUGGCAUGUAAGGGUGAUUAUGCAUCUGCAUUGGCAUUCCUGGAUUUGCUGUGGCGGCAGCAGAGUUCCAGCCUGCAGAAUGCUGAGGCGGAGCAACACCUGGAGCUGGAGCGUAAUGGGCAGGGGCACUGUAUGGAUGAACACCUGGACCUCCUAUCUGAGGUGGCUGCUGCCCAAAGAUUGAAGGUUGAGAAUUCAACAUAGGGGU
Molecule: long non-coding RNA, 503 nt
Filed under: Nicotiana tabacum (common tobacco)
Lineage: Eukaryota; Viridiplantae; Streptophyta; Magnoliopsida; Solanales; Solanaceae
Description: long non-coding RNA (NTAB_LNC002153)
Source: RNAcentral